This is a long non-coding RNA of Gorilla gorilla gorilla (western lowland gorilla), 6788 nucleotides long. RefSeq lists it as uncharacterized. NCBI's taxonomy places the organism in Eukaryota, Metazoa, Chordata, Mammalia, Primates, Hominidae. The record is from RefSeq and is a predicted model, not a curated record. The transcript is spliced from 5 exons.
CAUCCCUACCAUCUCCAUAGGAGUGACAAGAAUUGCAUGCUGGGUUCUGGAGAGAAAUAUAAUUCAGCAUUCAUUAGGCUGCACUCUUACCCAUUUCCUUGUCAUUAAAGUCACACAGCACUAGAUACUGACCGUUGCGUUCCUAUCAUUCCUAUAGACAGGAUCUCUGACAUGAGAGUCACAGGCUGUUUAAGAAUUGAUUUGCAUACCCAUUGUUCCUAUAGACAGGAUCUCUGGCAUUAGAAUCAUAAGGCUUUUGUUUAAGGAUCGCUUUAGAUGUUUUUCAGGUCCUGAAUUCCAGUGGAAUAGCUGAAGCCCACCAGUUCAAAGAUUCCCAGGGAGGAACCAAAUCGACACAUGAAUACAGCUUCUUUCAUCCCCCUGUCCAAUGACUUCGCCCUGUACUCUUUCACCAAUCAAUGAGCUCCACAUUUUAGCCUACUCCAAAACCCUUAAAAACGCUUACCCCAAAUCCCUCAGAAAUGGACUUGAGGUUUCCUCCUAUCCUGUUGUUUGGUAGCCUACGAUUAAACCUCUUUCUCUGCUGCAAACUGGUGUCUUGGGGUGUUGACUUGCAGAACACAUCUGGCAAUGGAUCUGUUACAAUUACACAUUCACCAUGGGAACGUGCCUGCUGGAGAAGGAAAAACGUGUGGAGCAGAGCCAACUCACUCCAGUCUCCUCAACCGGUGGCCAACCAACUCCCAGGUAUGUGAGCAAGACCAUCCAAGAUCAGCAAAGCCACCAGUGGGCCCCCAAUGACCCCAGCUGCAUGAGGAACACAUUUAUUUUUAUAUACCACUGAGGCUUUGUUGCUCACUCUUUCUGUGGCAGUAGAUAAUUGAUACAGUUCAUGACCACACUUAUGGCCAAUCAGAGUUAGAACUGAAACUUUUGCUAGAACAAUUAGCACAGAGACAUUUAUUUUUCUACUGAUACUUUUGUGCUGAAAAGCUCUAAGCCUAGAGCAGCUGGAAGAUGCCAUGUCACGUUGGAGAAAGGGUGUCUGAGACUGACGCCAACACAGAAGAAUAGAAAUUUACAAAUAAGAAGGAAGAAUUCUAACAACGUUUUUUUGAGUUCCAGGGUCAAGCCAUUCCUGUAACAACUAAACUAGAUUUUCACUUAAAUGAACUGAAUGCUACCUUGUGUUUCUUGCUACAGUCAACUUACGUUGGAUUUUUAACCCCAGGUUAUCAUAGAGUCCUGAUCAGUAGAUGUAUUUUCAAUGUAGAGUAUUGUGAAAAGUAAUGCGUUAUAAAUGUGCCUCCAUUGGAAAGUCAAGAGUCUAGAAAAACACGGCUGUUUUUCCGAAUUCCAGGUAGUAACAAAAACAAGUGUUUCUAUCCUUUCUUGUGCAUUUUACUUUCUAGAGUGCCAGGGGCUUGCCUAAGUAAGUUUGCACCUUGCUGAGCUGUUAAGAGGCUGUGGUGACAGUUGCCCCCACAAGAUUUCACCAGUACCUGGAAAUAAGUGUGACUCACUCCUGACUCAGUUUUGGUGACCACGAGGGCACAGCAAUUCUGAGAAAGACUGGGCCAGGUUGUUCUUCUACGCUUCUACGUCAGUGAUUUAACUCACGCCAUAGAUGGUAGAAACCAACCAUUUCAGACCUGAAGGAGAUGGCAAAGGUGAGAUCAUCAAAGACUCAUGGUUUCCUGUGGAGAUAACCAGAGGCAGAGGGGCGGAGGCAGUGCUGGUGGAGUCUGGCAUCCCAUGCAGGACUAAGAAGAUGGGCUUUGCGGGCAGAGAGAUGGAGGUUUGAACCUAAGCUUUGUUAUCUAUAAAUGUAGCCACUGUGGGCAAGUCAUUUAACCUUUCUGGGCCUCCAUUUCCACUUUUGUAAAGUAGGGGUAGAGUACCACACAAGAAUGAAAGAUCAUUAUAUAUAUAUAUGUAUAUAUAUAUAUUUUUUUAAUUUUAAUUUUUAUUUUGUUUUGAGGCAGGGUCUUGCAGUGUCGCCCAGACUAGAGUGCAGUGGCACAAUCAUGGCUCACUGCAGCGUCCAACUCCUGGGCUCAAGCAAUCCUCCUGCCUCAGCCUCCUGAGUAGCUGGGAUGACAGUCACAUGUCACUAUGCCCAGAUAAUUUUAAAAUUUUUUAGUAGAGAUGGGGUCUCACUAUGUUGCCCAGACAGGUCUCAAACUCCUGGCCUUGAGCAAUCCUUCCAAAGCCUCCCCAAAUGCUGGGAAUGCAGGCAUGAGCCCCAGCAUCCGGCCAGUUGCUGCUUACAUUUAAUAUGUGUAGGCACUCCCACUCCGGGAGAAGCUACUUAAUCUUCCUCAUCACCUCCCACGUCCCACAAAAAGUGGGCUUGACUUAGUGGUUUGCUUCCAAAGAAUAAAGUAUGAGAAGGGAAAAUACACUAAUUAGAAAGUGGAGGCUAGGCAUGGUGGCUCACACCUAUAAUCCCAGCACUUUGGGAGGCCGAGAUGGGUCAGGAGUUGGAGACCAGCCUGAUCAACAUGGUGAAACCCAGUCUCUACUAAAAAUACAAAAAUUAGCCAGGCGUGGUUGCACGUGCCUGUAAUCCCAGCUACUCAGGAGGCUGAGGCAGGAGAAUCGCUUGAACCUGGGAGGUGGAGGUUGCAGUGAGCUGAGAUAGCACCAUUGCACUCCAGCCUGGGUGACAGAGUGACACCCCAUCUCAAAAUAAGAAAAAAAGAAAAAGCAAGUGGCGAAACCUGGCAAAUGCUACCCAAGUGAUGAAUGCCAACCUCACUGAGGAAGCCUGGUGGCUCUCAUGCAGCCUUGGAUAAGAUGUGAAGAGGAAGAUGCUUCAGUUUUGUGGUGUUCUUCCCCCAAACCCAAACUCCAGUCUACUCAUGAGAAGUCCACCAGAGAAACCCAGAGUGGAGGACAUUCUACAAAAUACCUGGCCAGUAUCCCCCCUAGGACUGCCAAGGUCAUGAAAACCAAGGAAAGACUGAGAAAUGGACACAUCAGAGGAGACUGGGGAGAUGCUACAACUAAACGCAAUGUGAUACCUUGGAUCAGAUGCUGGAACAGAAAGAGGACGUACAUGGAAAGACAGAUGAAAUUGUAAUUAAGUACAGAAUUUAGUUAAUAAUAAUGUACGAAUGUUGGUUUUUCAGUUGUAACAAAUUUACUCAGGUUAUGUGAGAUGUCAACAAGAGGAGAAAACGGCUGGGCAAAACUACUGGCUCAUGCCUGUCAUCUGAUAAAGGAAAAACUUCAGCCAAGUGCUGUGGCCCACGCCUGUAAUCCCAGCACUUUGGGAGGCCAAGGUGGGCGGAUCACCUGAGGUCAGUAGUUUGAGACCUGACCUUUGCACUCCAGCCUGGCCAACAUGGUGAAAUCCCGUCUCUACUGAAAGUACAAAAAAUUAGCCAGGCAUGGUUGUGGACACCUGUAAUCCCAGCUACUCGGGAGCUGAGGCAGGAGAAUUGCUUGAACUGGGAGACGGAGGUUGCAGUGAGCUGAGAUCAUGUCAUUGCACUCUAGCCCAGGCGACAGUGCGAGACUCCGUCUGAAAAAAGAAAAGAAAAGAAAAACUUCAGUCAAAUUGAAUGUAAAGGAGUUUAGUUGAGCAAUGAACGAUUCGGGGAUCGGACAUCCCCCAGAAUCACAGCUGAUUCAAAGAGAUUCCAGCACAGCCAUGUAGUGGAAGAUUUACAGACAAAAAAAGAGGGCUGGGCGCAGUGGCUCACGCCUCUAAUCCCAGCACUUUGGGAGGCUGAGGCGGGUGGAUCACGAGGUCAGGAGAUCGAGACCAUCCUGGCUAACACAGUGAAACCUCACAUCUACUAAAAAUACAAAAAAUCAGCCGGGCGUUGUGGCAGGCGCCUGUAGUCCCAGCUACUCAGGAGGCUGGGGCAGGAGAAUGGCGUGAACCCGGGAGGCAGAGCUUGCAGUGAGCAGAGAUCACGCCACUACAGCCUGGGAAACAGAGCAAGACUCUGUCUCAAAAAAAGAAAGUGGGGGGAAAUGAUGUACACAAAUCAGAAGUGAGGUACAGAACAGCUGGAUUGGUUACAGGUUGGCGUUUGCCUCAUUUGAACACAGCUUCAACACUCAUCGGUGUAUGAGUGGUUGAAGUGCAGCUCCUGGGAUUGGCCAAGACUCAGCUGUUGUUACAGUUGUGGGCAUCAGUUUCCACAAGGUCCCCAGACUUAGAGAUCCAGGAGAUGAACUCAAGAGCAGCCCGUCGCCUGCAGUGGCUGAAAUGAAGCCUUUCUGCGUCAUCGGUGUCUUGUCUGAUGCUUCCCCAGUGGAAUUUCCUGCUGUGUUCCUGGGAAACCCAAGCAACCAGAAGUUCAUCCAAUUAUUUAUUUGCUUCGAGUCAUCCGGAUGUAAAAGUAUGCAGCUAUCAUAUACUGGUGAAGAUUGAAUUUAUUGUCAGCAUUUGAAAAUAGGGAGACUGCACUUUCAAAUAUCAGACUUUCAUGUUGUUCAGAAAGAAAUGGGUGCUCUGACUAAAAGGGGGCUUCAUUCCCACCUGGAGCUGAGUCCUGACUUUCAGUUAGAUCAGUUGGCAGCCACUGACUAAGUCCAUUUUACUGGAGUGAAAAUUGCUGCUUAGAGAGGAGUAGUUACUGGUCAGAAGUCACACAGCAAGCCUAAAGAAACGUCAUUCUGGCGGGCACUCAUUUAUAUGGACUGGAAGAUUAGGAUGAAAAAGCUGGGAGAACGAGAGACAGGACUGAUGAGUAAGAAUGAGAAGCCCAUAGCAGAAGUGGAAAUAACAAUUCAUCUUCCUUAGUUCAGAGGAAGCUCUCCCAAAUGCCCUUUACUUCUUGCUUUUCUUUCCUUGGAAAUUGCUCAGUAAAAUUGACCCAAUUCUACACGUUAAUUUGCAUUGUUGAUAAGAUAGCAUUAUUUUGCUUUUUAUGUCUUAGACUGUGGCUGGAUGAGUUUAUUCAUAAGUUUGCAUUAAUUUAGGAAAAAAUUUACUUAUCAAAAAACUGCACGUAUUUAACUCAAGAUUUUCUAAAUUUCUGGGGCUGGUUGUACACCUCAUAAGAUGUUUUGAUGUAUCUUUGGAAGGGUCUCUGGCUUAAUUUCUGUUUUCCUUUUCUUUAUUUAAAAAAGAAAAUGGAUUACAGAGUUAGUCAUAUGAAGCUACACACAUAAAAUUGCAUAGAACCUGCCGGGCACAGUGGCUCACACCUGUAAACCCAGCACUUUGGGAGGCUGAGGUGGGUGGAUCACCUGAGGUCAGGAGUUUGAGAACAGACUGAGCAGUAUGGUGAAGUUCCGUCUCUACUAAAAAUACAAAAAUUAGCUGGGCUUGGUGGCAGGCGCCUGUAAUCCCAGCUACUCAGGAGGCUGAGGCAAGAGAAUCACUUGAACUGGGGGGGCAGAGGUUGCAGUGAGCCGAGAUCACACCAUUGUACUCCAGCCUGGUCGACAGAGUAAGACUCCGUCUACGCAUAGAGCCACACGCACACAUAUUCACAUGUGUGUGUGAGUGCAUGUGUUAAUGGUAAAAUAUGCCUGACUCUAUGGAUUAUGCCAAUGCUGAUUUCCUGAUUUUGUUAUUGUCCUACAGUUAGGGAAGACGGCAAUGUGGGCAAGGCAAGGUCAAGUAUGCACAGGGCCUCCUUGUACAGUUCUUUGCAAUUUCCUGUGAUUCUGUAGUCAUUCUAAAUUUAAAAAUUGAGAAAAUAAACAAGAACAAUUUAUAGUCUGGACAUUAUGGCCAGUGCAGAAGGACAGAAUAAAGGAAUAAGUUAAAUUUUUAGACAGGAAGCAAUGCAAUAAUUAUUAUUUGCAGAUAAUAUGGCUGUCUACUUAGAAAAUUGGGUAAAACAGGCUUUGAACUAAUAUUAAGAGUUCAGUAAGGUACAUUAUGAAAAAUUAAUAGAUACCAUUUACAAUAAUAUCAGCAAAAACAAAUUAAAAUGUCUAGGAAUACACUUAACCAGCAUUAUAGGAGACCUACAAUAAGAAAUGUACUACAUUUAUUAAGGGAUAUAAAAGAUGACACGAAUAAAGCAAAUGAACCUGGAGAUGGUGAUCUGUAUUUAACAUUCAAAGUUUAAAAGACAGCUAAUUAUUUUUUUGGUUGUAGUAUAAAAGACAGUAGUGGGCAAUUGGAAAGGUUUGAAUAAGGGCUGUAGAUUAGAUAAGAGUAUUGUGUCAAUGUAAUUUCUUGAUUUUGAUCAUUGUACUGUGGUUGUAUAAGAGCAUGUCCUGAUUCUCAGGAAGUACACACAGGGAAGUACACACAGAUGUGUUUAGAAGUAAUGGAGCAUCGUAUUUGCAACUCAAUUCAAACACUUCAGAAUAAUAGUUUUUAUAUAUAUAUAUAAACUAUUAUUUCUUACUACAUAUAUAACUUUAAAUUAUAUUUAUAUAUAACUUUACAUAUACAUAACUUUAAAUUAUUAGUAUAUAUAUAACUAUUGUUUAUUAGUAUAUAUAUAUCCUCAUCUGUAUCUGUAUGCAUGUUUAAAUUUAUAUUGUUAGAAAGAAUGAGAAUGUUGUUUGGGGAAUCUGGGUGAAGAAUAUACAGACAUUCCUUUAGUGGGUCUAUAACUUUUCUGGAAAUUUGGGAUUAUUUCACAGCAAAAAGUUAAAAAAUGUGGCCAACAGAAGAAUAAGAAGGAAUAUAUAACUAUGAAAUAUAGGAAGCACCAGAGGGGAAGAAGAUGAUGUAUCAUAAAUGAUAUAAGCAGUACCAUUUAGUAUCGAGGAGAGGAUAACUAUUUUCUAAUAAAUAGAAGUGCUGUAUAUCAUCCCAUCGUAUGGAAGUAAUCAUCAGAAGAAAUAAAAUCUUGAUGAUUUAAGAAGGAUCCAUGGGUCGUUGAACUUGGGAUGCAGAA